UUUCCGUAGGUGAACCUGCGGAAGGAUCAUUACCGAGUUAGGGUCCCUCCCACGGGGCCCGACCUCCCAACCCCGUGUCUAAUAAACCUGUACGUGUUGCUUCGGCGGACCGACAGCCCCGCUGCCGCCGGGGGAGACCACGAGCUCACGCUCGUCCCCUGGAGAGCGUCCGUCGAUGGCCCAACCAAACAAACUCCCAAACCAAAAUGUAUGUGAAACACAAUUCUGAAUCAGACCUUUUGAUAUACCAAUCAAAAACAAAACUUUCAACAACGGAUCUCUUGGUUCUGGCAUCGAUGAAGAACGCAGC
This 310-nucleotide unclassified non-coding RNA is filed under the name uncultured fungus. RNAcentral describes it as "sequence contains ITS1, 5.8S rRNA gene". The stretch from base 262 to 310 matches the Rfam family "5.8S ribosomal RNA", at positions 1 to 49 of the family's 154-position model. Lineage: Eukaryota; Fungi. The record is from RNAcentral.